This 447-nucleotide ribosomal RNA is filed under the name uncultured bacterium. RNAcentral describes it as "bacterial SSU rRNA". It matches the Rfam family "Bacterial small subunit ribosomal RNA", at positions 331 to 793 of the family's 1533-position model. The record is from RNAcentral.
CCAGACUCCUACGGGAGGCAGCAGUGGGGGAUAUUGCACAAUGGGGGAAACCCUGAUGCAGCGACGCCGCGUGAGUGAAGAAGUAUUUCGGUAUGUAAAGCUCUAUCAGCAGGGAAGAAGAUGACAGUACCUGAGUAAGAAGCCCCGGCUAACUACGUGCCAGCAGCCGCGGUAAUACGUAGGUGGCAAGCGUUGUCCGGAUUUACUGGGUGUAAAGGGCGUGCAGCCGGGCUGACAAGUCAGAUGUGAAAUCCCGCGGCUCAACCGCGGAACUGCAGUUGAAACUGUCAGUCUUGAGUAGCGGAGAGGUCAUCGGAAUUCCUUGUGUAGCGGUGAAAUGCGUAGAUAUAAGGAAGAACACCAGUGGCGAAGGCGGAGGACUGGACGGCAACUGACGGUGAGGCGCGAAAGCGUGGGGAGCAAACAGGAUUAGAUACCCUAGUAAAA